GGGAGGGAGUGACUAGUGACAGAGUGAGGGAGGGAGUGACUAGUGACAGAGGGAGGGAGGGAGUGACUAGUGACAGAGGGAGGGAUGGGGUGACUAGUGACAGUCACCACCUCCUUCACUCUGUCACUGUGUCACCCCCUUCCUCACUCUGUCACUGUGUCACCCCUUCCUCACUCUGUCACUAGUCACCCACUCCCUCCCUCACUCUGUCACUAGUCACCCCCUCUCACUCUUUCACUAGUCACCCCCUCUCUCACUCUGUCACCAGUCAUUCCUUCACUCUGUCACCAGUCAUCCCUUCCUUCCC
Molecule: small RNA, 307 nt
Filed under: Pelobates cultripes (western spadefoot toad)
Lineage: Eukaryota; Metazoa; Chordata; Amphibia; Anura; Pelobatidae
Source: RNAcentral